GUAUCAGCGUCUCAGUUUAAGCAAAUAUUGUUACAAUGUAACGAUAUCUUAAAUCGAUGCGUUGAUAUGUAACAUCUAUGUGUAGGUUGAGUACUCCUUUAUAAUAAUACUUAAGAUUUUGAUUCCUUCUCAUUCCGUCUCCCAAUUAAUUUGAUCAAUCGUUCCAAUUUCGAAUUAAUAAACACGUCGUGAAAGUAUUUUUAACUUUCAAACGAAAUUUUCCACUUAUUUCAGGCUGAGUCAACCCUCUUUACUCUCCAUUUUGGUUGUCCUACAAACACGUUACUUAGUAAUGUGGGUUUGCCUUUCACAUUGGUGUUGUAUAUGCAAAUUUAACCAAUGUUGCAUUCAAGAUAGACAAUGCACGUAACGUCGCCGCAAGUUCGAUACGUAACAGACGAUCCCGGCGCAGGUUUUAUCAAGAGAGAUCAACAACCGAAUCAUUUGCAGUACUCGGGAUAGGCAGCGACAACGAAAUUGAAAGGAUAUUCUUGACUAAAGUGUUUUCCGGUAAUAUGACAUGGAUGAGAAAUAAUUUACAGGUUCCAUCUCCCUUAAAUCUCACAACUAUAAAGUCUGUGUCGUCCGGUGAAGAGGUUUGAUACAUUUCUAAGAUUAAAUUACCAAAAGAGAAAGAUUACACAUGUUUGAGUGAUGCAAAUCCUGUGCUCUAGGCAAGCAUUUCAUGCAUAACUUACUGCACGGGCUGCGGCUGACUUGUAACAUCAGUUCCGUUUCUGCUCCCAGCCAUUCCUGCCCCGUUAGUGGUUGCCGAGUCACUGAAAGGAAGUUGAGGAUCAGGACCAGAUGUAGUUGAAGAUGGUAUAUGUAACGGGUGUUGGAGUUUGAAUGAAAUUUCAACUCAAAUGUGGGGUAUUGUUGGAAAUUUGAGUAGUUUGAGUAGAAAUUUCUUUGUCUCACAUUGGCCAUUUCCAAAAGAUUUUAUCACUUUAUAAGGCUUUGUCUUUUAUAGAAAGUGAUUGGAAUAAUAGGUCUGGAGACUAAAAUUGGGCUCACCCUUGGAGUUGGGCUUUGGGAUUUACUAAUUAAUUGGUAAUUAAUUAUAAUUAAUAUAUAUUUUUUUCUGUGUUUUAAAUGCCAUGCAGAUGAAUGUAUAUAUAGUGUGAUUAUACCUGUUCGCAACAUGUAUGAGGAAGGGAUGCAUCUGUUGGGAGACAUCAUAAACAUCAUUUCUGAGAGAACCACAUUAAUAUUCGCCAGAAGUCAAUUUUCCGGUGCUGAAAUUUCUGACUUAGAUCGUUGAAUCCUGAUGAAGCAGACGUCCGUAGAACUACAAGCACUGAAUAGGGGCGAAAUUUUUGUUUCAAGGACAUUGCGGUACGCAAGCCUCGAUCUUUUGUUACUCUGCUUAAUUAAUAUUUCAUCUUGUUGAGUCUCUGGAAUAUAUUUAUUCGUAUUUAUUAUUAGCAUAUUUAUUUUAUUGCGGAUUGUUGACAUAUAUCCAACAACCGGUGGUCAAAUUUACAAGCUGGCCCAAAUUUGCAAAUGCCAUAGCGACUGUGAUGUGUGCAAAUGUUCUGAUCCUGGAUUUUGAAACAAAUUUUGUGUGGUCAAUGGCGUGCAAUCAUGUAAUAUGCGAUCAAACUGAGGCUCUCAUAGAGCGGGAACAAUUGUCCUCACAUAGUAUUUCAUUUGUUUUACCUUAAUGUAUCACAAAGUGAAAACCUUUCGAAGAUCGUAUUUCCGAAAUUAUGAACUCGUAAUAAAGGGCAUGCUCAAAGAAGGGUGAACUUACCGGUCUCAAAGGCAGGCCCUUGUCACUGAGUGCGAUUGGGGCGGCUACUGCAGUGCAGUAUGACUUGUUGGAUGGUGAUAUUUGCAAUUAGAUUUAAACUUGCAAUCCCCCGUUCUUAAGAAAUAAGGUACCGUCUGGUACGCAAACGGGACGGAACGGGAUGGAAUGUGUGAAAUUCCAUCCUUAAUUUGUCGUAUAUUAUAUUAUCGAACAUAUGAUUACCAAAUUGUCCUUGAGGCAUGAACGUUGACUUUCGUUGACCGUCUCGUCGUGACGCGUAUUACUAAUUUUCUUAAUUUAUUCUUAUCGUACUCAUCGAUACGAACGCGUAGGCGCGAACGGAUUUGAAUUUGAAGUUAUAACGAAUAUUUUACAUUACGAAACGUCGAACGUUUUUCGAAUAUUUUGUGUUUCGUCUUUAGUGACCUUGUUUUGUGAGCCAUAGGGACCACAUGUUUUCUUCAUUUUUCCUCGUAACCCCUCUCUUCUCUCUUCCAUCUAUUAUUUUCUGAACACUCACUCUCUCCCUCUCUACACUCUUGGCCAUCUCUCAAACCAACCCUCCUAGAGGGGUUUCACUCAAACAAAUCACACAACAACAACCUUGGUACCACCACCAUCACUCCUAUGAACUCAGAAUUGAAAGAGGACCCUCCAAACUCGCUGCACAGCGUUCACCACUGUUCACUGAGUUUUUCGACGAGUUUCCACCUUUUUUGACGAAGGUAAGCCUCAAAACUUGUCCAAAAGUUGUAGAUCGUGUCUUGGUGUAUGUUUACAGGUAGUUUUGAGAAGUUUCGGUGAUGUUUGGACGUAGGAAUCUCAUGGGGAAAACUUCCAUAGUUUUCCCGGUGAAGACAGCCACUUUCGAGCCAUUUUCCGGCCGAACCACGACGAGUUAGUCAUCAAGAAAGGUACCAUUCUCUUCCUCUCAUCGAGAAGUAUGAUUUUCGUUUUUGAAUCACUCAAUGACGUUGAGUAUUGAAGAAGUUAUGAAUGUUUAAAGUUUACCUAGUUUACGGCGAGUUCUCCGGUUUUCCCACGGACCGGUCACACUUCAAGCCAUUUUCCGGCUAUUUUCGGCAACCAUUGGGCUUCCAAAUAGGUAUAAUCUUGUUCGACACUUUCCUAUCUUCAUUUUAUAUAUUAUGGGUCGAAUUUGGUUAAGAAACACGUGAGUUGAGAAGCUUUGAAAAUUACCCAACUUCCAGCCAAAAAUCCCAAUUUCUAGUAUAAGCUCCGACGGCUCGGCUCGGCUCAGCUUCAGCUGACUUCUCAAUCAGUGUCGACCAUUGACUGUCAACAUUGACUUUUGGGUUGACAUUUUUUGGUUUCGGCUGGGACCCCUCCUAGACUAAUUUCGACGUCCUAAUUCCAAAUAUGCGCUUCUUUUUUCCAAAUUCAAUCAUUUUAGUAGAGUUUUAUUAAUUGGUCCCUUCAUGUGCUUAGGUGCAUUUGUUAGUGGCAACCCCGUCCUCUCUAGUUAAAACGGCUCUUCGGCGAUAGAGUAUCUGUUAGUUGACCCCUUCCAAAAUGCAUGAUUUUAUUACUAGAGAUGCAUACAUGAAAAACAUGAUUUUAUGGCUACAUUUUAUGAAACGUUUAUGAGUAAAUUGGAUUUACGCUUUGUGAAAUAUCAUGCUUUAUCAAAUUUAUGUUUACUGAGAUAUUUAUGAAUAUGAUUUAUUGAUAUGAUGUUUGAGCUAUUGAGCUCCGAUGAGAUAUAUUUUGGAAAGAUUAUGUUCAUGAUUUUAUGUGCUUACUUAGUGAAUGAUACUUAUAUAUGCCUUCGGGCCGGUGAUGAAGGGCCUUUGGGCGAAUGAUACUUAUAUAUGCCUUUCGGCGAGUAUGAAGGGCCUUCGGCCGGGCGAGUGAUACUUAUAUAUGCCUUCGGGCGGGUGAUGAGGGCCUUCGGGCAAAUGAUACUUACAUAUGCCUUCCGGCGAAUGAAAUACCACUACUAAGCACACUAUAUAUGAUAUAUGUUUUACAAAGGUUUUAUGGCAUGCUAGGGUUUUCGGAAAACCUAUUACUUAUUAUGCUAUAUGAGUUUCUAAAACUAGGGUUUAGUACGUUAAAGAAUAACUGUUUUAGUAUUACAUAUAUAUAAACUUAGUCCACUCAUGUUUUUUGUUUUGAGCCCCCUUAGGACUUAGGAACAAGGCAUACGACCCAAGCUACAAGGCAUUCCCAUAUCGGUGAAUUUGUGUCCUCUCUGCGUAGGACAUCUCUUGUAAUCGCACCUUCUGAUAUCCCUUCCACUUGUAUUUCGAAUUAGUAGUAAUACUCUGAACAUGUCAUGCAUUAUUACUUUUAAAUUGUUGGCAGUGAACUAUUAUUAUAUUUUCUAUUAAGGUUUGUACUUGAAUAUUACAUUGCGUGGUUAAGCACUAAAUUUAUAUGCAUGUUUCACAUGUUCUUGGCAUAUGCAUUCAUUAAAUGGCUUGCGUCACCCUUGAGUGUCGGCGAGCACGUGGCCAUCCCGUUGGCCUUUGGACACCGGGAUCGGAGCGUAUCAAAAUGGGACGGAACGGGACAGUUGUUCCAUUCUGCAUUUGCAGCUUCCGAGUCACAGAAAGGAAUCUGAUAAUGACGGAUGGUCAAAUCUACAGGUUGGCCCAGAACUGCAAACGCCAAAGCGGCUGUACUCUGUGCAAAUCUUCUGACCCUGGAUUGGAAACAAAUUUAGGAUGAAAGUUUAUGCAAUUGAUGGCAUGCAAUAACGAAGCACAAUAACUGAUCAAACCGAGUAUUUCAUAUAGGAGAGGCAAGAGAGGAACUGUUAGUUAAGAAUCCUUCUAUUUUGAAAGAGACAUCCAUAACUUUCAUUACAAAUUAUUUUUCGCAAGGUCAAAUGAGUCUCAGUAAUAUACAUUUUCUUGGUACAUUGCUAAUUAUCCAAGGUACACUAAAAUUUGCAAAAAGACUUCAAUUCCAAUAUUAUCCCAUCACUUAAUCAAAAUAAAAAGUUUGAAUAACAAGUGGUGGUUAGUUAUUAAUGCUGUCAAGGGUGAAAAAAUAUGCACAUUGGCAAACGGUGAACUCAUUGGCCCAAAAGAGAAUAACUUAGAACUUAAAAACCAACCUUCUGUGCUACUUGUAUCACAAAGUGAAAAACCUUUUUGAGAUCAUAAUCCAUAGUUACGAAUUCUGUAUAAAAAGAACAGUUCGAAGAAGAGUGAACUUACUGGUCUUAAAGGGAGGCCCCUGUCACUGAGUGCACAUGAGGGGGUCGCUGCAGUCUGAUUUUUUGGAUGGUGAUAUUGGCAAUUAGAUUUAUUAUCACAAUCCCCUGUUUGAGCGAAAUAGAAGCAAACAGGUUGCCCAGGUCGUUCUGGUAAUUCUUCAGCUUGCGUCUGCUGUGCAUAUUGUCCGUAGUAGUUGGUUUCAGUCACCGAGUUGUUCGUAACAUAUGGUGGAGGUGCAGGCAUGUUUCUAUGAACAUAUGGUGGAGGUGGUGGAGGUGGUGGAGGUGGAGGUGGAGGUGGAGGUGCAGGCAUGCUUGGUAGAUAUGCUGGAGCCUAAACAUGUUUUGGCCAAUACAAAAUUAGAGAGAAAAGCAUGUUUUUGAAAAUGCAAACGAGAACAGCAGUAAUUCUAUAAAUUCUACAAAAAAAAGGGGCUAUUCUUACUUAUACCCACAAACUAAUACGGAACCCAAAUAAGAAGUCUAGAUGUACCGAUGUGAAAAUGUAAGCAUAUUACCACAACUGAUGUAGACAACAAUUUGUUAUCAAUAUUCAAAUCUUCAAGAAUUUAACUUCUUUACAAAGAAUAUUAGAAUAUCACAAUAAGUCCUUAAUGUAGGACCAUAUUAUUAUUUUUAUGAGCCGAACAUGAAUAAAAAGGGCAUGAGAAGAAAAAAAAAAAAAAGAGGUCAAAACACAAAAAGAUCCGACUAUUAUCCCAAAAGAGACGGUAAUUCGCAUAUCAAAAAGUGAUGAGAGUUAUUUAAAUUUUAAACCCAAGACUUUAAUAAGGGAGUGAUGGCUAAAGUACCUGAUAACCAUUCCAUUCUGUAGUUUCAGAAUUAAUCCCUUGAGAAUUUGGCAGACCUUGUAAUGAUGCAGGCCUACCAUUACCAUACGCGGAUUGCGGGUGAGAUUCUCCAGCAGCUGUAGGAUCAGGGUGGUUAAACUUGCAGUUUAUUCCGUACUUGCAGGUCCCAGUUCGCAUAUAGUAGGAACAAUCUUUCUCCCCCUGUAAUACGUUAAAACAAUUAUUCAGCAAACAUAUGGACACAUUAAAUUGGUCCAAAAGAAUAAGAAAAUAAGCAAAGAUAAAAUCUUAAACCUUAAACAUCAUGAAUAGAUAGAAAUUCAUUCCUCAAAUUUUUACAGAUCAAAUCUAGAGCUUAUACCGGACGAAUUGGCAGGUCCGAAAAAUUAAGUUCCAGAGCUGGAGCUACAGAAGGUACCCCUAUACGUCGUCCUGGGCUGAUGUAAUACUGCAACAAGCUUAAGUGUUGUAUUAAGAUCGUGAAACUGUUACUAGGCCACCACGUAGCACAGAUUUGAAUACGAGGGUACAAAGGGAAAGAAAUGUCUUUGACAUUUAAAAACAUAAUUGUAAUCCUGUAUAAAAAGGAAAAUGUAAUUGUAAUGUAACAGCAUACAAUUGUGAAAACACAUCGACUAUAAGUUGAUCACGUUCAAGACCCUCAUCAUUCUAUAGUUAGCUACAAGAUGAAAAAGGUUUAAGCUUGUAUAUUCACUAGCGCAUUCUAACCAACUAGCUUUCAGAUAACCAUAUCGAAAAACCCCAUCGUCAAAACACAACAUAGUACUUGAAAUCAAAUAUGCGAAGUAAAACAAAACUUAAUGAUGUAAAACAUGAAAACCAAGCAAUUGCAGUAAAAACCAGAACUUCGGAUAGAUAAUAACCUUGCUUUCGGUCUGGUCUUGCUUCUCUUCCAACUCUUCCCUCUGCUUUGCCUUGUCCUUCGACACCUUCAAAUCAAUAUGAUAAAGUUCAAAACACCAAGAAACACAAAGUGAGCACCAACGACACAAUUAUUUCCUGCAUUCAUACAAGGCCAGAUGCAUUAAUGUCUCAAAUACUAAAUGCAGGCCCAAAGUCCCGAUUUGUUUCAGAUACAUUUCACCACAACGAUGCACGUGAAAGAAAAACAUCAUCUUUAACAAAUAAAUGCGGAACAAGAGAGAUAUACCUGCUUGUUUUUCCCUAUCCGAGGGUGAUUAUACUUGCAAUUCGAUCCGAACUUACAAAUGCCAGUCCUCAGAUAGUUCCAACAGUCUCCAAGCCUCAAUGGGUACUGAUCCCUUCUGCUACUCUCCUCAACAACCUCCUCCCCCACCUCACCACCAUUCUCAUUCCCUCCUCCGCUGCCACUGCUGCUACUGCUUUCGCUCUUUUCCCUCUCUCUCUCCUUCUCCUCUUCUUCUUUUUCCUCAUUUUCCUUCAAACUCAAUUUUCGAAUCCCAUCAACGAUGGAAGGAUCGAAGUUCCGAUCCUCAUCCAGGAAGGCGGGGUCGAAUUGCUGAAUCUCAUCGAGCACGGCGGGGCCGAGUGUCCCAAUCCAAUCAAGGAUUUCAACAACGGACGGCUCAGGAGACGGAACGGACGGCUCAGGAGACGGAACAGACGGGGGAUUUUGAGGAACGUCUACGCUUUCAGAAAUUUCCCAAGGGAAAGCAGGGUCCAAGUUCCGAAUCUCAUCAACGAUGGAAGGAUCGAAGUUGCGAAUCUCAACGGCGGGGUCGAAUUGCUGAAUCUCAUGGAGGAGGGCAGGGUCGCGAUUCCUAAUCCUAUUGAGCACGGCGGGGUCGAGUCUCCGAAUCCAAUCAAGGAUUUCACGCUCGAGAUCGGACGGCGCAGGUGACGGAACAGACGUCGGAUUUAGGGGAACUUCGGCGCCUUCAGAAAAUUUCGAUUUUUGUCCGGAUCUGAAGUACUUAUAAAUUACGACCAGCACUGACAGUGACACCGGUAGGAGGACACGCGCCGCUGUGAACAUAGUUUUUGUGCUGAUGGCGGCGGCGGAUGCGGCGGCGACGGUAGCUGAUAGGACUCCAGUUCACAGAGGAAGAAAUAAAAGGAAGACAGCUAAGUUAGGUAGAAAAGUUAAGGCAUUUUCAUUUCAUAAUCCGAGGAGAUACAAUUGGGGGUGCUUAUAUAUAACCCAUUAGCCAACACAAACAAAAGGCUCAAGUGCUGAGUCAUCCUCUAAUAACUACUCUCACUACAAUACAGGAUAGUAAUAAAAGGUAAAGAAGGUGGACCCGAUAAGGUUCUAACAUGGCUCUCCCCCCUUAACAAGCCUGUCCGCAGGCGUUAAACCCAGGAAAACGAGUUAAGAUAGAGUCGGCAUCCUCCCACGUAGCAUCAUGCUCCGGAAGACCUUCCCAUUUAAUGAGCCAACGGGUGAUUGCUCGAUUGUCUUGCUUGAACAUGCCACGCUGAAGUAUCUUUUCUGGGGUCCAGAUGAAGGCACCAGUCAAGGAAACUGGGGGAAGAGUUGGUGAUGCAACUGUAUAAGCACCCACAUUGGGUUUAAGUAAGGAGACAUGGAAGGUAGGAUGAAUGCGAGAGUGAGGAGGCAGGUCCAGAGUAUAUGCCACUUGACCCACGCGAGCAAGCACCUUGAACGGUCCAUAGUAGCGAGGAGCCAAUUUAGGGCAAUGCGUCUUAGACACUGAUGUCUGGCGAUAGGGUUGAAGCUUGAGAAAGACCCAAUCCCCAACUGAAAAGGUUCGCUCCGAACGAUGUUUAUUAGCCUGCUGGCGCAUCCGAUGUUGAGCGAGGUGCAGGUUCUCCCGCAAUUGCCUGAGCAGGGCAUCGCGAUCUCGAAGGGUGACAUCAACCAGAUGAACCAGAUAAGAGCCAGGAAGAUAGGAGGACACCGUUGGUGGUGGGUAGCCAUAGACUGCCUGAAAAAAGGUCAUUUGAAUGGCAGCUUGAUAGGUAGUAUUAUACCACCACUCGGCCCAAGGAAGCCACUGUAUCCAAUCAUUGGGUUUGUCCCUUACAAAACUGCGCAGAUAUUGUUCAAGGGUGCGAUUGAGCACUUCGGUUUGGCCAUCGGAUUGUGGAUGAUACGCCAAGCUCUUGCAAAGAGUGGUGUGCUGCUGUUUAAAGAAGGCAAUCCAAAAAUCACUAAUAAAGACUGGAUCCCGAUCACUCACUAUGGAAGCCGGCAUGCCAUGAAGGCGAAAGACUUCGUGAAUAAAGAUAUCAGCGAUUUUGGCCGCCGAGUAUGGGUGUUUGACCGGAAUGACGAUCCACUACCACGAAAAUAACGUUGCGCCCAUGGACCGAAGGAAGGCCUUCAAUGAAAUCCGUGGCAAUGUCGUGCCAUACGUUGGUGGGAAUGGACAGAGGUUGCAAGGGGCCUGGUGGUUUAAUCGUCUCAUACGUUGUACACUGGCAGGUGUCACAGGCAGCCACAAACUUUUUAACAUCUUUUUUUAGCCCCGGCCAAUUGAAAUUGAGUGUUAACCUCUUGUAAGUGCGUAGAAAGCCCGAGUGUCCCGCAGAUGGUGAAGAAUGAAACUCAGCAAGGAGGCGUGCUCGCCAAGGGGAAGAGGCAGCAACAAAAAACCCCCUUCUUAUAGUAUAAGAGAUCGCCGUGGAGUUUAAAUAAAGCAUGACGCUCCAGGUCCUGUUGCAAGGCCGCCAACAGUGAAGAGGCCUGAGGAUCAGUGGCAUAGUCUGCUUGUAUCGCAGCGAUACAAUCAAAAAGAGGCUGAGAUAGUCCCAUUAACCCAAGAACCUCAGGACGUCGGGAAAGAGCAUCAACAGCGGCGUUCGAAGUGCCCGGCCGAUAUUCCAGCGUAUAGUUAUAACCAAGUAACUUCAACAACCACCUUUGUUGAGUUGAAGUAGUGAUGCGCUGAUCAAGGAAAUAUUUCAAAGUCUGGUGGUCAGUAAGGAUCCGGAACUGAUGGCCUAUCAAAUAAGAACGCCAUUUUUGGACCGCAAAGACCACCGCCAACAUCUCCUUAUCAUACACCGAAAGAGCCUGGUGUUUUGGAGCUAAAGGUUUGUUAAGGAACCCAAUGGGAUGACCCUCAUGUGAUAAGACGACGCUAAUACCACUAUCAGAGGCAUCGCACUUAACCGUAAAUGGUUUGGUGAAGUCUGGAAGAGCGAGGACCGGUGUGGAAGACAAUGCCUGUUUGAGGGCCGAGAAGGCCUGAGCAACGUUGGUGGACCAUUGGAAACUGUCAGUGCGUAAUAAGUCCGUAAGUGGUCGUGCUAUUAUGCCAAAAUGAUGGACAAAUUUGCGAUAGUAGCCUGCGAGACCCAAAAACCCACGAAGGGCCCGAACAGUGGUUGGUGUCGACCAAUCUGAAAUCGCAGAAAUUUUAGAGGAAUCCACGACCACCCCUGUGACGGAUAUAAUGUGUCCCAAAUACGCAAUUGAAGGCUGGCCAAACAGACACUUCGAAUGCUUCAAUUUGAAUUGAUAAGUGCGUAAGAGCUCAAACACCUUAGCUAAAUGUGAGACAUGUUGUUCCACAGAGGCACUGAAAACCAAUAUAUCAUUAAAGAAAACUAUCACUGACUUAUGCAGCAAGGGCUUCAGAAUGGAAUUCAUUAAUGCCUGGAAGGUGGCUGGAGCAUUGGUCAGGCCGAAUGGCAUGACCGUGAACUCAUAGUGCCCCUCAUGUGUUCGGAAAGCGAUUUUAGGAAUGUCCGGUUCAUGCAUCCGUAUCUGGUGAUACCCCGAACACAAGUCGAGCUUCGAAAAUAUAACAGCACCCCGUAACUCGGCCAAUAAUUCAUCAAUAAUAGGGACUGGAAAACGGUCUUUGAUAGUGACAGAAUUCAAAACCCGAUAGUCCACACAAAACCUCCAUGUAUUAUCCUCUUUGGCCACUAAGAGCGUCGGUGAAGAAAAUGGGCUGUGACUGGGCUUGAUAAUACCCGUAGCUAACAUUUCCUCCACCUGCUGUUCAAGUUCAGCUUUUUGAGCAUGUCCAUAAUGAUAGGGUCUCAUAUUCACGGGGCCAGUUCCCGGAAGCAGAGAAAUCCGGUGAUCAAUGAGCCGGUGAUGGGGUAGGGUAGUGGAGGCUUAAAAAAUGUCAGAAUACUGGAGUAGUAAGGCUUGAAGGAUGUCGGGUAGUGGUGCUGGAUGAUAUAACCCUGUUGGUAAAUUGGAGAUCUGCGCCAUAAUAUGGAAAGGGUUCCUAAGGGAAGGAUCCAAGGAAGACAAUGGAGGUAUGGCCCCGGCUGAAUGGGCUGAAGAACCUACUAGACGAUAAUUGGUGCCCUGCACAGUGAACUCUAUGACUUUCAGAAGGAAGCCAAUAAGGCCCAAUGUUUCCAACCAAUCCACUCCAAAAACCAUGUCACACCCGACUACUGCCAGAAGGUGGAAGUCAGCACGGAAGUCAUACCCCCGAAGGUGAACAGAGACAUUGCGAGCCAUACCCUUUGUGCGAAAGUAGCGGCCCGUGGCCACCAUCACGGCCUCAUUGGAAGUUGAAUCAAUUGGAAGACCUAAACGGGCAGCGACCUGAGGAUUAAGAAAACUCUGGUCAGCCCCAGAAUCGAUGAACACUUGAAUCCGAGUAUGGUGGAGGACGCCUUCCAAAUGCAUAGCUCGUCCCCGGGAACGCUUUGUAGCCGAGAUGGCAUUGAGAGCAAUAGGUGGCGCCGGUUGGUCCCCUAUGGAAGGGUCAAGUGGGUUGGAGGUCUUGGGUUUCGACUGGAAGUCAGAGAAAUCCUCAUCCGCCAAAAGCAUGAGGAUGUGGGAUUGCCGACAACGAUGACCCGGCCAAUACUGCUCAUCACAAUUAAAACAGAGCCCAUGUUCCCUCCGUGCGCGCAUUUCGGCUUGGGCGAGGCGUAAUAUGGGCUUAGGGGGAAAAGUCGGUGUGGCGGCCGGUAAGGAACGGGAAGCAGGAGUGGACAUGAAGGGCACAACGGUGGAAUGAAAGAAAGGUUUAGAGGGGGUGGAGGAGGACCGAGGAAAAUGGUGUAUGGUCGUAGGACAGAAUGGAAGGACCGGCUACAAACGGGGUAGUGCGUGAGGGAGAAGGGGAAGUGCUCCAAGUGGGUAGGGGAAGGGUGGUGUGGGCAAUGGAAAAGGGCCCGCAUCCGAGCGAAACCGGAAUGGAACCAAUCAGAAUCUAGGGACUGGGUUGGGUUGUGGGUGGGUGUUUUAAAGAUCGAAUCUCCUCGAUGAGGGUCUGCUGAAAUUUACUUUGUUGAGUCUGGUGAACAUUUAGGCUGGCGAGAGACUGUUGCAGAUCCGCCAUAUGAUGCUGAAAAUCAUCUUGACGGAGGUUUAUCAGCGUCAUUGCCUCUUGGAAUCCAUGUAGUUGGGUGAGGAUUUGCUGCUGCUGAAAGUCCAGGUCAAGCUCCGCCUCGGAAACCUCGGCCACCGUCACAGAGGCCUUGCUCUUGCCCAUGGACGCCCAACUAGGCUCUGAUACCAAUUGAUAGGACUCCAAUUCACAGAGGAAGAAAUAAAAGGAAGACAGCUAAGUUAGGUAGAAAAGUUAAAGCAUAUUCAUUUCAUAAUCCGAGGAGAUACAAUUGGGGGUGCUUAUAACCCAUUAGCCAACACAAACAAAAGGCUCAAGUGCUGAGUCAUCCUCUAAUAACUACUCUCACUACAAUAAAGGAUAGUAAUAAAAGGUAAAGAAGGUGGACCCGAUAAGGUUCUAACAGUAGCUGAAACUGGGUUGCUAGGUUUUGUUGUGAACUUGCAACUAGCAACUACGUUUAUGGAUGAAACAAAUUCUCUCAUAUCUGCUUUGUCUAGAAGCUGCUUUAGGAAAAGUGAUUCUGUAUUAAUUAAUAAAACACUCGUUAACCAAAAUCAUGUGAAAUUAUCAAUUUAAUCCUUUAAUUAAAACAUAACAUAAAUAAGAAAUAUAAGACAUAAAUGUAAUUUCAUAUUACUAAAUUUUACUGUUUUUUUUUUCAAAGCCUCACCUACAUACACUCCCACAUUCUCUAUCACUCUCUUCCACUCUCUUCCACUCUCCUUCUAUUUGAAAAACCCAAAAAAAAAAAAAAAAAAAUUCUCACACUUUGUGUGCGCCCAUAUGCUAGUCUCAUAAUAACAGAAUGACUUACAUGGAUCGAAUACACUUCCAAGCAGUCGCUGGUUUAGAAAAUAUUGCUACAAUGUGACGAUACUUAAAACAAUAAUGCGUUGACAUAUAAGAUCUAUGUGUGGGCUAAGUCCUUCAUAAUAAUACUCAGAAUUUUGAUUCCUUCUUAUUCAUCUCUUGAUUAAUUUGAUCAAUCAUUCCAAUUCCUUCUUAUUCAUCUCCUGAUUAAUUUGAUCAAUCAUUCCAAUUUCGAAUUAGUAACCGCGUCGUAAAAAUAUUUUUAACUCUCAAACAAAAUUUCCCAGUUAUUUCAGGCUGAGUCAACUCUCUUUACUCUCCAUUUUGGUUGUCCUAGGGUUUUUUUUUUUUUUUGGGUCAAAGGUUGUCCUAGGUUCACUCGUAUGACCUAGGUUUGCUAGUCCUAGGUUCUCCAUCACCUUCACAGCUCCACUCAGAUGCCGUGACCUACAAACAUGCUAUUUUGUAAUAUGGGUUUGUCUUUUAGCUUGGUGUUGUAUAUGCAAAUAUAACCAGUGUUACAUGCAAGAUAGACAAUGCACGUAACGUCGCCGCAAGUCCGAUACAUAACAGAAGAUCCCGGCACAUGUUUUAUCGAUCGAGAUCAACAACCGAAUCAUUUGCGAUACUCGGGAUAGGCAGCGACAACGAAAUUGAAAGGAUAUUCUCGACUAAAGUACUUUCCGGUUAUAUGACAUGGAUGAGAAAUAAUUUACAGGUUCCAUUUCCCUUAAAAUCUCACAACUAUAAUGUUUGUGUCGUCCGGUGAAGAGGUUUGAUACAUUUUUAAGAUUGAAUUACCAAAAGUGAGAUUACACAUGUUUGAGUGAUGCAAAUCCUGUGCUCUAGGCAAGCAUUUCAUGCAUAACUUACUGCACGGGCUGCGGCUGACCUGUAACAUCAGUUCUGUUUCUGCUCCCAGCCAUUCCUGCCCCGUUAGUAGUUGCCGAAUCGCUGAAAGGAAGU
RNAcentral lists this long non-coding RNA (13770 nucleotides) under Malus domestica (apple). Its description in RNAcentral is "long non-coding RNA (MDOM_LNC014231)". The record is from RNAcentral. Lineage: Eukaryota; Viridiplantae; Streptophyta; Magnoliopsida; Rosales; Rosaceae.